Molecule: ribosomal RNA, 496 nt
Filed under: uncultured bacterium
Lineage: Bacteria
Description: partial 16S ribosomal RNA
Rfam family: Bacterial small subunit ribosomal RNA
Source: RNAcentral
AUGAACGCUGGCGGCGUGCCUAAUACAUGCAAGUCGCGCGAACAGACGAGGAGCUUGCCCCUCUGACGUUAGCGGCGGACGGGUGAGUAACACGUGGAUAACCUACCUAUAAGACUGGGAUAACUUCGGGAAACCGGAGCUAAUACCGGAUAAUAUAUUGAACCGCAUGGUUCAAUAGUGAAAGACGGUUUUGCUGUCACUUAUAGAUGGAUCCGCGCCGCAUUAGCUAGUUGGUAAGGUAACGGCUUACCAAGGCAACGAUGCGUAGCCGACCUGAGAGGGUGAUCGGCCACACUGGAACUGAGACACGGUCCAGACUCCUACGGGAGGCAGCAGUAGGGAAUCUUCCGCAAUGGGCGAAAGCUUGACGGAGCAACGCCGCGUGAGUGAUGAAGGUCUUCGGAUCGUAAAACUCUGUUAUUAGGGAAGAACAAAUGUGUAAGUAACUAUGCACGUCUUGACGGUACCUAAUCAGAAAGCCACGGCUAACUACGUG